RNAcentral lists this unclassified non-coding RNA (425 nucleotides) under soil metagenome. Its description in RNAcentral is "partial contains 5.8S ribosomal RNA, internal transcribed spacer 2, and large subunit ribosomal RNA". The stretch from base 1 to 120 matches the Rfam family "5.8S ribosomal RNA", at positions 35 to 154 of the family's 154-position model. The record is from RNAcentral.
GAUGAAGAACUUAGCGAAAUGCGAUAAGUAGUGUGAAUUGCAGAAUUCCGUGAAUCAUCUAAUCUUUGAACGCACAUUGCGCCUUCUGGUAUUCCGGAAGGCAUGCCUGUUCGAGAGUCAUUAACAACCGUUUCGAUCCCUUUCUUUCAGAAAUUACAAAGAGGAAAAGGGUUUGGUUAUGGUGGAGGAGGGAAAGGGAGCGUUUAGCCUGUAAAAAAAGAGGCUGUGUUCCGCCUCCCCCCCAAAAUUGUACAGGCGGUCGUGUGCGCCCACGCAUCGAGGUGUUGUAAAAGCUGCCACGGCACUUUUCACCUGUGCAGUGCGAGAUUGGCCAGCCGGUUUAAAAACCCCUCCAAACAAUCAAAGGUUGACCUCGGAUCAGGUAGGGAUACCCGCUGAACUUAAGCAUAUCAAUAAGCGGAGGA